Molecule: ribosomal RNA, 450 nt
Filed under: uncultured organism
Description: partial 16S ribosomal RNA
Rfam family: Bacterial small subunit ribosomal RNA
Source: RNAcentral
CGUACACUCCUGCGGGAGGCAGCAGUGGGGAAUAUUGGACAAUGGGCGCAAGCCUGAUCCAGCCAUGCCGCGUGAGUGAUGAAGGCCCUAGGGUUGUAAAGCUCUUUCACCGGUGAAGAUAAUGACGGUAACCGGAGAAGAAGCCCCGGCUAACUUCGUGCCAGCAGCCGCGGUAAUACGAAGGGGGCUAGCGUUGUUCGGAUUUACUGGGCGUAAAGCGCACGUAGGCGGACUAUUAAGUCAGGGGUGAAAUCCCGGGGCUCAACCCCGGAACUGCCUUUGAUACUGGUAGUCUUGAGUUCGAGAGAGGUGAGUGGAAUUCCGAGUGUAGAGGUGAAAUUCGUAGAUAUUCGGAGGAACACCAGUGGCGAAGGCGGCUCACUGGCUCGAUACUGACGCUGAGGUGCGAAAGCGUGGGGAGCAAACAGGAUUAGAUACCCGUGUAGUCCC